Molecule: long non-coding RNA, 5231 nt
Filed under: Sus scrofa (pig)
Lineage: Eukaryota; Metazoa; Chordata; Mammalia; Artiodactyla; Suidae
Description: lncRNA (ENSSSCG00015050596.1)
Source: RNAcentral
AAAGGGAACAGUCCUCAUAGCUCAUAAUCACAAAGGGUGCAUAAGAGCCUCUGUCCUAUGAGUGCCCACAUAUCAUGAGUUCAUGACUUCUAAUUGCCACAGGAAUAGAGUUCUCUGGACAGUCUGGAUGAUGUGCUCACUCCUGGUAAAGCGGAGUUGCCUCCAUUAGGACCACGUGAAGUAGGAUCUGCAAAGAAGAAAGUAGUUGUGUUCCUAGAAUAUGGAGGAAUUCUGGGGAGGUAAAAAACUGGUCGAUGUCAAGAAACAAUGACUGUUUUCAGAAUUAUUUUCUGCUGUCCUCUUUGGGAGGAUUUGCAUUGCCAGACCAGUUGUCUACUAAAGCUAGAUCAUGACAAAUCCUUGACCUCCGGAUAUACACAAAUGCUUAAAAUUCUGUUGGUAAGAGUAGAAGACAGGCAUCCACUCCAUCCAGAGUGGACAUCAAGUAGUCAAGCUGUAAGGUAAGAAGAGUGGUGGAAAAAGAACUCUAAACAAUAUAAUAAUAGUCUAGGGAUGUGGGGAGUAGGUUGAGGAAUAUAGAUGAAAUAAAAAUGUAGAAAGUCGAUCAUUGUUGGAGCUGAAUAAUAAGCACAUGAGAGUUUAUUAUACUAUCCCAUUUUGUUUGCAUAUGUUUGAAUUUUUCCUUCUUACAAGGUAAAUUUUUUUAAAUGGUGGAGAUUGGCAGUGAGUGAUGGCAGAAUGCAUCCUUUUUAAAAUGACAAAUGGAAAUUACUGUUUUAGGUUUCAAGAUGUCAUUCUUCUCAAACUCCUGAAAUAGCAUUACACUAUGGGCUUGGUAUGGAAAUCAGAUGAGAAUCUGUCUUAAACCCAUCCAUCAUAUCCCAUAAUUAACCAAUUACCUGAGUCAAAGGCUAAGGUUAAAAAAUGCAAGUAAUCUUAUAAUUGCCUCAGCAGAUUUUUUUAGAAAGGCAAUAAUAUAUGUUAGUUGCCAUAAUGGAAAUGCCAUGCAUCAGACCUGUCUGCUCCUUGGCUAUGAUUUUGACCUAAGGAUUCCAGAAUUGUAUUCUAUUAAAGAAAACAUUUCUUUUAAAGUGGAUUUGUGUUACAUUAUUGAGUUUACUAUCUUGAGAACACCACAUAUUUCCUUAUUCAAAAAUGAGAUAGACUGUACUUUGAGUUCCACCCAUACGGUUGAAAGGAGAGAGAAAAAAGAAAAGACAGAAGAGUGGGGACCUGGUACCCACUCUUCCAUAGCAGUACCUGUUGUAGUUCUGGAGCUGAAAGAAUCUUCCCAAGGAACUUUAUUUAGCUUAAGCCUUAUAUUUCACUCCAACAUAUGUGUGAGAAAUAGCCAGAUCUAGGGAAAAAACCCUCUAUAAAUUCCAUGGCUCUUGACCUUGGUUUAUAGAUAAUAAAACAUGUUUCUGGCAUGUCAACCAGGAAUAAUCUAAGCCUCUAUCUGGCUUUAUUCACCAGAUUUAUUUUUAUUUUUAAAAUUAUUUUAUUUUUUAUUAUUAAAGUAUAGUCGAUUUACAUGCUUAGUCACCAACUUUAUAACUUAUAUAUCCACAUUUUUUCUUUCUUUUUUUAAAAACUAUAUCCAGUGGUCAAAUAUGGGUCCUCUGAGUUGAGUUUAUUAUUUUUGUUAUACUGAAAAGGAUUUAGGUAGGACAUAAGAGGAUUAAUAUUAUAUUUCAGUUUUAUUAAGUUUAGGAGUUUUUUCUUAGGAUUUUCAUUUUGCAUGUCAUCUCACUAGCUUGGCUCUGAUGUAUAAAUAUGUGUGUGUGUGUGUGUGUGUGUGUGUGUGUGUGUAUGUGUGUGUGUUAUGAGUGUGUAUAGUCUACAAAGAGAAAUAUGAACAUACCCAUAUAGUAGGGUCAUGCUCAGCAUAUUAUAAACAUUUUAUCUCUUUUAUUUGAAACGUUUUCCCUCUCAAUGAAUAUUUCUGUCGAUCUGUAUCAUUUGUCUUACCGGCCCCACUGCUGGUUACAAACUCAAGGAAAAAAGAGGAUCAGUAAAUGUCCUCUGAGGGCAGAGUCUCAGCCAGAUGGCUGACCUUCAUGUUCAUCUUUAAUUCCGCCAUAUUGAUUAGAAGCACUACCUUAGAGGAAGAGGAUCUGAGCCUUUUGUCACUCACUGUCUUGUUUCCUUUGUCCUUUGUUUCAGCUUGGUAAUUGAUAUGGUUGGUAUACCCAGAGGAACUUUUGAGCACUGGGCACAGAUUUUCACAUCCAAAAAUAAACAAAUAAAGAGGUUCCAGCCAAUUCCACUGAGUGGGGAUGCUCAGUACAGUCAAGUGGGAUGUAGCCACACAACAGGAAUGUGUUAAGUUGAUAAAUGUGCUCCUGCAUUGAUGCCUUUGCUUCUGUGCUGCAUUUGGCAGCAAAUACAAACCCUUCCUAACUUAGCAAUUUCAGUUCCUUCCAUUAAACUCCCCAUGUUCAUCUCUUUUGUUUUUCUGACCAUCUGUGCUCAAAGUCUUCUACCAUAAAAUUCACAAAUAUUUUUGCUAAGCUGAACAAAUCAGUUUUUCCAUAAAUCAAAGAAAGAGGUCCUUUUCAAAUCCCCCAAAUUCUGUAAAAUAAGAAUAGAGUACUUAGUUUUUGUGUCCCUUUGGACCUAGAUGUAGCAAAUGAGUCAAAGCAAAAUGUUUUUGGAACAUCAUUGUUUCUUACCAGUUAUAUAGAUAUAUGGUUCUUUCUUGAGUUAUUUAAAACUCAAGAAAUUAUGGUUCAUUUUGUUGCUUAAAGGGAUUUGAGGUUCAUAAUUGCACCACAUAGCCAGUAGUCUAAGUCUCUAAUGCAAAAUAUUACACACUAUAAACAUUCAAAAACAAGUUGAAUGAAUGAAUUAAUAAAUGAACAUUGUAUAUGUCACUGAAUUAUACCUAUUAAAAAAUGCUUAACACUGACCUAGUAUAUCUUAGGCAUCUGAUGAAUAUGAGGUGAUAUUAACAUGCAUAUGUGAACAACUAGAUAAAAUAGAUUUUAUUUCAAUAAUGUUAUUCAUAUAUGUAUUGACUAAACAACUAUUUGUUGAGGAUUCACUCUUUGCCAAGAACAGUGCUAAUACUUGGUGAAAUAGAGAUGUAGUCCCUGAUGUUGCAGAGUUUCAUGCUGUGGGAAUAGUAGACAUUAACACAAUAUUUGCAUUUAGGAUCAUGUGAUGGGGAACAUACUUUGAGAAAGAAACCAUUUUGUGUGAGAGAGUAUGACAAAGAAAUUCUAAUGCUAGAUGUGGACAAAGGCUCAGGAAAGUCUUUCCUACAGAAGCAGUGUUUAAUCUGAGUCCUAAUGGAUAAGCAGGAAAGAUAGUUGGAAAUAAGGUGUCACUGAUGUAGUAUUCUUGACAAAAUGUUUAACCCAAAUCUAAUCUUGAGUGAGAAAACAAUUAAAUCCAUACCGUGCGAAGUUCUCCAAAAUAGAAUGUUGGUGGGGAAAGUGUGGGAGACUUAUGGCUAAGAUAAAAUGGAGUUUCAUAUUAUAACCAGUUGUAUUAGCUAUCUUUUGCUGUGUAAAAAAUUAUUCCAAACCUAGCUGCUUAAAACUAUAAUAAACAUUAAUUAUUAUUUAUUAUCUUAUAGAGUUAUGAGAGUCAAGAAUUCAGGACCAAGCUAGGUGUGCGGUUCUGGCUCCAGUCUCUUUUUCUGUGAGUUUUUUUUUUUUUUUUAAGUAUAAUUGACCUGAAGCAAUAUGUCAUUUCCUGUUAUACAACACAAUAAUUUGAUAUUUCUAUACAUUUCAUAAAGAUCUCUAUUAUAAAUCUAGUUAUAAUCUGCCAUCAAAUGAAGAUAUCACAUAAUUAUUGACUAUAUUCCCAACACUGUGCAUUUUGUACCCAUGACUCAUUUAUUGUGCAACUGGGAAUUUGUACCUCUUAAUCUCCCUCACCUAUUUCUCUUGUCUUCCCACCUCCCUUCUCUGUGGCAACCGUCUAUUUGUUCUCUGUAUCUGUGACUGUUUCUGUUUGUUCAUUUGUUUUUUUUUUUAGAUUCCAUAUUUAAAUUGAAAUCAUACAGUAUUUUUCUUUCUCUAUGACAUUUCAUCAACAUAAUACCCUCUAAAUCCAUUACAAUUGUAUCAAAAAGAAUAAAAUACCUAGGAAUAAAUCUAAGUAAGGAAGUAAAAGAUUUGUACUUGGAAAAUGAUAAGACAUUGGUGAAAGAAAUGGAAGAUAAUAUAAAGAGAAAGGUAUACCAUACUCAUGGAUGGAAGAACUAAUAUUGUUAAAAUGACAUACUACCCAAGGUGUCUACAUAUUCAAUUCAAUCCCUAUCAAAAUAUCAAUGGCAUUUUUCAUAGAACUACAACUAAUAAUUCCAAAAUUUGUAUGGAAACACAAAAGACCUCAAAUAGAUAGCUAAAACCAUCUUGAGAAAGAAGAACAAAGCUGGAGGUAUCAUGCUCCCUGAUUUCAAACUAUACUACAAAGCUGCAGUAAUCAAAACAGUAUGAGAUUAGCACAAAAACAGAUACAUAGAUCAAUGGUACAGAAUAAAGAGCCCAGAAAUGAACCCAUACUUAUAUGGGCAAUUAACCUAUGAUAAGGGGGGCAAGAAUAUACAGUGGGGGAAAAGAGAGCCUCUUCAAUAAAUGGUAUUGGAAAAACUGGACUACUCUCUCACACAUGUACAAAAAUAAAUUCAAAAUGAAUUAAAGACUUAAACUAAGACUCCAAGCCAUAAAAUUCUAGAGAAAAACAUGGGCAGUACACUGUUUGACAUCAGGUUUAGCAAUAUGUUUUUUGAAUAUGUCUUCUCAGGCAAGGGAAACAAAAGCAAAAGUAAACAAAUGGGACUACAUCAAAUUAAAAAGAUUUUGCAUAGGGAAAGAAACUAUCAAGAAAACAAAAAGACCACCUAGAGAAUGGAAGAAGAUAUUUGCAAAUGAUACAUUCAAUAGGGUUAAUAUUCAAAAUGUACAAAGUGCUUAUGAAACUCAACAUUAAAAAAACCAAGCAACCUGAUUAAAAAAUGGGCAGAAGAUCUGAAUAGACAUUUUUCCAAGGAAGACACGCAAAUGUCCAACAGGUACAUGAAAAUAUCCUCAACAUCCCAAAUCAUGAGGGAAAAACAAAUCAAAACCACAAUGCAAUAUCACCUCACACUUGUCAGAAUGGCUAUCAUCAAAAAGAAAACAAGUGUCGAUGAGGGUAUAGAGGAAAGAGAACACUUCUGAACUGUUGAUGGGAAUAUAAAUUUGUGUAGCCAUUAUGGAAAACAGUAUGGAGAUCCCUCAAAAAAGUAAAAAUAGAACUACCAUAUGAUCCAG